RNAcentral lists this unclassified non-coding RNA (220 nucleotides) under uncultured Acidimicrobiia bacterium. Its description in RNAcentral is "contains 16S-23S intergenic spacer region". Lineage: Bacteria; Bacillati; Actinomycetota; Acidimicrobiia. The record is from RNAcentral.
UCCGAGUUGACCCCGGCAGUCUCCUACGAGUCCCCGCCAUUACGCGCUGGCAACAUAGGACAAGGGUUGCGCUCGUUGCGGGACUUAACCCAACAUCUCACGACACGAGCUGACGACAACCAUGCACCACCUGUGUACCGCCCCGAAGGACACCGUAUCUCUACGGCUUUUCGGUACAUGUCAAGCCCAGGUAAGGUGGGGAUGACGUGAGGAUAGCAGA